RNAcentral lists this long non-coding RNA (598 nucleotides) under Brassica napus (rape). RNAcentral's name for it is "long non-coding RNA (BNAP_LNC000433)". Lineage: Eukaryota; Viridiplantae; Streptophyta; Magnoliopsida; Brassicales; Brassicaceae. The record is from RNAcentral.
UGGAUUUGUUUUAUCAACGUUUAUUGAUUUUUGCCAAGCCCUCUCGAAACUUCAUCUCCGCUCAAGUUCUUUUCUUUCUUUUUUGGUGUUUUAGCAAAAUCACAGAUAGUUUGAUCAUAUAUAUAAUAUAAUUACAAGGUUUUUUUGGACCAAAAAAUUAUAAGUUUAAUUUGCUAAAGAUCGCAUUAUACAGGGGAAAAGUGUUAAUUUCGACCCCAAGAAUUUAGGUCGUGCCAAAUACGACCCGAACAAUUGAUCAGUACCGAAUACGACCUCAAUUCAAAUAUAAUUCGAAAAAACUACUCAAACUUCUUAAAACGUGCUUAAAUCUACAUUGACUCUGAUAGAAGUUAGUCAAUCAUUAACAAGAUAAAACGACAUCGUUUUGAUAUACGAGAAAAAGUACCAAUUUUGACCCCAACACUCUCAAUCGUGCCAAAUAGGACCCGAACAAAUGGUCAGUGCCAAAACCAACCUCAACUUUAUUAUAAUUUAAGAAAAAAUGUCUGAACUUCUUAAAACGUGCAUCAAUCAAUAUAUGUAUAUAUAUCUUUAAAAAAAAUAAAAAUAAAUAAUAUGUACAUUCCGGGACUCAAAC